This 497-nucleotide ribosomal RNA is filed under the name uncultured bacterium. RNAcentral describes it as "partial 16S ribosomal RNA". It matches the Rfam family "Bacterial small subunit ribosomal RNA", at positions 28 to 507 of the family's 1533-position model. The record is from RNAcentral.
GAUGAACGCUGGCGGCGUGCCUAAUACAUGCAAGUCGAGCGAACAGACGAGGAGCUUGCUCCUCUGACGUUAGCGGCGGACGGGUGAGUAACACGGGGAUAACCUACCUAUAAGACUGGGAUAACUUCGGGAAACCGGAGCUAAUACCGGAUAAUAUAUUGAACCGCAUGGUUCAAUAGUGAAAGACGGUUUUGCUGUCACUUAUAGAUGGAUCCGCGCCGCAUUAGCUAGUUGGUAAGGUAACGGCUUACCAAGGCAACGAUGCGUAGCCGACCUGAGAGGGUGGUCGGACACACUGGAACUGAGACACGUUCCAGACUCCUACGGGAGGCAGCAGUAGGGAAUCUUCCGCAAUGGGCGAAAGCCUGACGGAGCAACGCCGCGUGAGUGAUGAAGGUCUUCGGAUCGUAAAACUCUGUUAUUAGGGAAGAACAAAUGUGUAAGUAACUAUGCACGUCUUGACGGUACCUAAUCAGAAAGCCACGGCUAACUACGUG